RNAcentral lists this ribosomal RNA (1148 nucleotides) under Sufflavibacter sp. RP33. RNAcentral describes it as "bacterial SSU rRNA". It matches the Rfam family "Bacterial small subunit ribosomal RNA", at positions 75 to 1222 of the family's 1533-position model. The record is from RNAcentral. Lineage: Bacteria; Pseudomonadati; Bacteroidota; Flavobacteriia; Flavobacteriales; Flavobacteriaceae.
AGUGCUUGCACUUUGCUGACGACCGGCGCACGGGUGCGUAACGCGUAUGCAAUCUACCUCUUACUGAGGGAUAGCCCAUGGAAACGUGGAUUAACACCUCAUGGUAUUUUAAAUUGGCAUCAAUUUAAGAUUAAAGGUUACGGUAAGAGAUGAGCAUGCGUCCUAUUAGCUAGAUGGUAAGGUAACGGCUUACCAUGGCAACGAUAGGUAGGGGUCCUGAGAGGGAGAUCCCCCACACUGGUACUGAGACACGGACCAGACUCCUACGGGAGGCAGCAGUGAGGAAUAUUGGACAAUGGGCGAGAGCCUGAUCCAGCCAUGCCGCGUGCAGGAAGACUGCCCUAUGGGUUGUAAACUGCUUUUGUAUAGGAAGAAACCUUUCCUCGUGAGGAAAAUUGACGGUACUAUACGAAUAAGGAUCGGCUAACUCCGUGCCAGCAGCCGCGGUAAUACGGAGGAUCCAAGCGUUAUCCGGAAUCAUUGGGUUUAAAGGGUCCGUAGGCGGGUUUAUAAGUCAGUGGUGAAAGUCUGCAGCUUAACUGUAGAACUGCCAUUGAUACUGUAGAUCUUGAAUCAUUAUGAAGUGGUUAGAAUGUGUAGUGUAGCGGUGAAAUGCAUAGAUAUUACACAGAAUACCGAUUGCGAAGGCAGAUCACUAAUAAUGUAUUGACGCUGAUGGACGAAAGCGUAGGUAGCGAACAGGAUUAGAUACCCUGGUAGUCUACGCCGUAAACGAUGGUUACUAGCUGUCCGGCCUAAUUGAGGGCUGGGUGGUUAAGCGAAAGUGAUAAGUAACCCACCUGGGGAGUACGUUCGCAAGAAUGAAACUCAAAGGAAUUGACGGGGGCCCGCACAAGCGGUGGAGCAUGUGGUUUAAUUCGAUGAUACGCGAGGAACCUUACCAGGGCUUAAAUGCAGUCUGACGUACUUGGAAACAGGUAUUUCUUCGGACAGAUUGCAAGGUGCUGCAUGGUUGUCGUCAGCUCGUGCCGUGAGGUGUCAGGUUAAGUCCUAUAACGAGCGCAACCCCUGUGGUUAGUUGCCAGCACGUAAUGGUGGGAACUCUAGCCCAGACUGCCGGUGCAAACCGUGAGGAAGGUGGGGAUGACGUCAAAUCAUCACGGCCCUUACGUCCUGGGCCACACACG